This 481-nucleotide ribosomal RNA is filed under the name uncultured bacterium. RNAcentral describes it as "partial 16S ribosomal RNA". It matches the Rfam family "Bacterial small subunit ribosomal RNA", at positions 30 to 507 of the family's 1533-position model. The record is from RNAcentral.
UUGAACGCUGGCGGCAUGCUUUACACAUGCCCGUCGCACGGUAACAGGCCGCAAGGUGCUGACGAGUGGCGAACGGGUGAGUAAUGCAUCGGAACGUGCCCAGUCGUGGGGGAUAACUACUCGAAAGAGUAGCUAAUACCGCAUACGAUCUAUGGAUGAAAGCGGGGGACCGUAAGGCCUCGCGCGAUUGGAGCGGCCGAUGUCAGAUUAGGUAGUUGGUGGGGUAAAGGCUCACCAAGCCAACGAUCUGUAGCUGGUCUGAGAGGACGACCAGCCACACUGGGACUGAGACACGGCCCAGACUCCUACGGGAGGCAGCAGUGGGGAAUUUUGGACAAUGGGCGCAAGCCUGAUCCAGCAAUGCCGCGUGCAGGAAGAAGGCCUUCGGGUUGUAAACUGCUUUUGUACGGAACGAAACGGCUCUGGUUAAUACCCGGGGCUAAUGACGGUACCGUAAGAAUAAGCACCGGCUAACUACGUG